Oreochromis niloticus (Nile tilapia) is the source of this 3254-nucleotide RNA transcript. It is a transcript of the gene named kelch domain containing 8A, with no coding region annotated. The transcript is spliced from 11 exons. Lineage: Eukaryota; Metazoa; Chordata; Actinopteri; Cichliformes; Cichlidae. The record is from RefSeq and is a predicted model, not a curated record.
UUCAAGUGUGUCAGUGGGCUCUCCUGUACCAAAUAUAGGUUAACACACAUGCCCCCCCUUUCGGAUUAUACCGUCACACGGAAUGAAUAUGAACUUGUGCGAUGAAAACUGGAGAUGAAUACUUCAUCUCUGACCCACAUAAUGGCGAUAUAUCAGGCUCGGUAAACGGAUCUGAGCCGUGUUACCGCCUGCUCCUCCGCUGUGAGCUCCCGGUGCGGUGGGAGCUUUUAGCGGCGCGCCUCGUCUCUCAUCUUCCUCCGCCUGGACCCGACUCUCCUCUUCCAUCCUCUCUCCCUCUUUCCAUCUCGGUAUCGGAGGGAGGAGAGGAGGGAAAAACUGAGGCGACACACGCCGGGAAAAAGGGCGACGGAAACGGGAAAAGUGAGGUCGAGAAAUUACCCAGAGCUUCCUCCGUGGGAUUCCAAACUGAAGGGCCCAGUGUGAGGUGGAAGACCAUCCAGAGCUCCCCAGAGAGUCUCCGACGGGGUGCCGAUGUCAUGGCGGUGCCCAGUGCCCAAGAGUUUCACUGGCAGAGCCUGGCUCGACUGCCCAGCGGCCGUGUCUAUCACACUCUGUCUGAAGUGGGGGGGCAGAUGUACAUGCUGGGGGGCUGUGACGCUGCAGGAAGGCCAUGUCCAUCCCUGGAGCUCUACUCCCCAGAGGGGGACCGGUGGAUAAGCUUGCCCCCUAUGCCCACUCCUCGUGCUGGGGCAGCUGUGGCAGUUAUGGGAAAGCAGAUCCUGGUGGUGGGAGGGGUGGGAGAGGACCAGAGCCCUCUGAAGGUGGUGGAGAUGUAUAACACAGAGGAGGGGAGGUGGAGGAAGAGAAGUGCUCUACGGGAGGCACUGAUGGGUGUAUCCAUUACAGUGAAAGAUGGCCGUGCUCUGGCUGUAGGGGGAAUGUGUGCGGACCUGCUUCCCCGUAGUAUCCUGCAGCAGUAUGACCUUCGAAAAGACGUGUGGGCGCUACUUCCUCCCAUGCCGACCCCACGCUACGAUGCUAACACACAUCUGCUUGGCAAUAAGCUCUUUGUGGCAGGUGGCCGUCAGUGUAAGCGACCGUUAAAGGCCUUUGAGGUGUACGACACAGAGACGCGAUCUUGGACUACGCUACCCAUGAUGCCAUGCAAACGUUCCUAUGGGGGUGUGAUAUGGGACCCAGCUGGCAGGCUGUGCCUGUUAGGAGGACUGCGGCAGGGCGGGGGACACCAAAGCUCCAAGUUCACCAAGAACGUCAAUAUUUUUGACACCAACCAAGGCACCUGGCUGAAGUCAGAGGAGACAGUGGCGAUGAAAACAAAGAGAGCUGACUUUGCUGCUGCCUUCCUGCGUGGACGGAUGGUGGUCGCAGGAGGACUUGGUCAUGAGCCUUCAGCACUAGACACUGUGGAGGCCUUUCAUCCUCAGAAGAAGAAGUGGGAAAGGUUGGCUCCAAUGAACCACCCCAGAUGUUCUGCCUCUUCUAUCGUCAUCAGAGACCGCCUCCUGGUAGUGGGAGGAGUCAACCAGUUUGUGGUCCUGAGUAGUAACCUGCUCUGUAAAAGCAGCUCCAAUUCACGAGUGAUAGCCUGUCAACACUGAAGUGGACCGUGCUACCAGCAGGCUAAGAGGAGCGGACAUGUCUGCUGAAGGUUCCCAGUUCGGCGCACGAGAUCCUCUACGUUAAAGAAGAAGAGUAUCUGUAGCCUGUAGUAACUGACGCCCAAAUGAUCGCAGAUGAGCCGUGAUUCCACGUCCUCCUUCCCGAACACCCGUCGUGACUGUAGUGCAAUAUUUAGGAAGCAUCACAAACACUGAGAAAUGAGUGCAAGUCUGGCUGCCUGAUGUAAUGUAUCGGAUAACACUGCCCCCUGCUGGGCGUAACUGGCACUGAGCCCCACAUGUCAGCACACAGAUGCACAAUGGAGGAGCUGGCUCUUUCUUUUUACCGAGCUGAUCCUUGAUACCUUUAUGUAUGCAACACUUCUGCAUUGUACACUGUAGUGCAUACUUGAGGAUGGAACUAUUUUGUAGCUAUCGUGUCUAUUCCUGUGGACAGAAGAUAUGUGGAAAAUGUAUUUAUAUUGCAUAUAUAGUGCUGUCAUAUCUGCAUUCAUUUUAUUUACGUGUAGCUUGCCGACUAUUGAGCAAGGGUAGAUUUUAAUUUAGCUAAAUGACACAACUGCAAUCCUUAUCUCUGAUUUAAUAUGAUCUAGAAACAGUUGAGUGUUUGGUUAAUAAAAUAUUCAGUAACAACAUUUGCACUGAAUCAGUCAACACUGAGUGGGAGCUUUGCCUUCAAUUAUUUCUAGUGUAAUGUGUUGUAGUAAUUACACUUAGAAUGCUGUAAUAAAACUCCUCUGUGCUGUAAUAGUGCACAUUUGUGACCAGAUGUAACACUUUGCAUCCAUGAAAUGAGACUUGUGUUAAAUAACCGUGUUUUUUGUGGUUAAACUAAUUACUGAAUUGCUGUUAUAAGCAAAGGAAGGAAUCCUGUGGGACUUACAGGCUGAUUGUAGACGUUUUAUUCCUGCAGCAAUACACUUUCCCUGCGUUUUAUAAUGUAUAACGUGCUGUGCAGUAAUAUUGUAGUCGUCUCACUCAGGUUAUGUUCUAGGUUGACUUUUGUUCGUCUGUUCUUGUAGCUAACAACUAAAUAAUUUCUUUGGUUCUGUGACAGGUGAUUAAUUUGGGAGUUUUUAUAUUCAUUGUGAUGACAGUUCAGCCUUUGCAAAAUGUUAUUUCAGUCUACACCGUGAUCAUCAUCAGUCCUCGUUCCUACACCAUACUGUAAACAUGUCAUAUUGUUAUAUUCAGUGAAAUAAAAGUUUGUAUUACACUUUUUUCCCCACAAGAUGGCAGAGGUGACACAUCAUUCUGAGUCGUUACGCACUUUCACUCUGCCUACAACACAUUACAGCUGCAUCACAGGUGGUCGAGGUCCAUUUGUUCAUAGAGACACGUUAAUAGCCUCUUGACAUUUAAAAAAAUAUUUAUUUGCUGUUAAGAAAUCUAUUUCACUUUUGUUCAGUUAAAAUGACCAGAAACACUGUUGAUAACGUGAGCAUGCAUAUGUUUGCUGCACAGCCACAGUGCAGAUAUCCUUAACACCCAUAGAAAUGCUUUGAAAUUCAUUGUGUUUUGGUGGAGCUGCAUUUUUCUUCUUUUUUUUUAAAUUGUAUAAUGAUUCCUAUUACUGUUGAGCCUCUUUGAAUAUUUCCACGUGUGUUUGUGUGAAAAGUAAUAAAAUAGGUAAUUGUGAUUAUGUAACUAAAA